ACACAUGCAGUCGAGCGCUCACUUCGGUGGGAGCGGCGGACGGGUUAGUAACGCGUGGGAACGUACCCUUCUCUACGGAAUAGCCUCGGGAAACUGAGAGUAAUACCGUAUACGCCCUUUGGGGGAAAGAUUUAUCGGAGAAGGAUCGGCCCGCGUUAGAUUAGAUAGUUGGUGGGGUAAUGGCCUACCAAGUCUACGAUCUAUAGCUGGUUUUAGAGGAUGAUCAGCAACACUGGGACUGAGACACGGCCCAGACUCCUACGGGAGGCAGCAGUGGGGAAUCUUAGACAAUGGGCGCAAGCCUGAUCUAGCCAUGCCGCGUGUGUGAUGAAGGCCCUAGGGUCGUAAAGCACUUUCGCCAGGGAUGAUAAUGACAGUACCUGGUAAAGAAACCCCGGCUAACUCCGUGCCAGCAGCCGCGGUAAUACGGAGGGGGUUAGCGUUGUUCGGAAUUACUGGGCGUAAAGCGCGCGUAGGCGGAUCAGAAAGUAUGGGGUGAAAUCCCGGGGCUCAACCUCGGAACUGCCUCAUAAACUACUGGUCUAGAGUUCGAGAGAGGUGAGUGGAAUUCCGAGUGUAGAGGUGAAAUUCGUAGAUAUUCGGAGGAACACCAGUGGCGAAGGCGGCUCACUGGCUCGAUACUGACGCUGAGGUGCGAAAGUGUGGGGAGCAAACAGGAUUAGAUACCCUGGUAGUCCACACCGUAAACGAUGAAUGCCAGUCGUCGGCAAGCAUGCUUGUCGGUGACACACCUAACGGAUUAAGCAUUCCGCCUGGGGAGUACGGUCGCAAGAUUAAAACUCAAAGGAAUUG
Molecule: ribosomal RNA, 813 nt
Filed under: Rhodobacteraceae bacterium ACEMC 11-2
Lineage: Bacteria; Pseudomonadati; Pseudomonadota; Alphaproteobacteria; Rhodobacterales; Paracoccaceae
Description: bacterial SSU rRNA
Rfam family: Bacterial small subunit ribosomal RNA
Source: RNAcentral